Molecule: ribosomal RNA, 550 nt
Filed under: uncultured bacterium
Lineage: Bacteria
Description: bacterial SSU rRNA
Rfam family: Bacterial small subunit ribosomal RNA
Source: RNAcentral
AAUAGAUACCCCGGUAGUCCACGCCGUAAACGAUGAGUGCUAGGUGUCACGGGCUUUGACCCUCGUGGUGCCGCAGCUAACGCAAUAAGCACUCCGCCUGGGGAGUACGGCCGCAAGGCUAAAAACUCAAAGGAAUUGACGGGGGCCCGCACAAGCGGUGGAGCAUGUGGUUUAAUUCGACGCGACGCGCAGAACCUUACCUGGGCUAGAAAACGUAGGAACCUGGGUGAAAACUCGGGGUGCUCUUCGGAGAAUCUACGGUUAGGUGUUGCAUGGCUGUCGUCAGCUCGUGUCGUGAGAUGUUGGGUUAAGUCCCGCAACGAGCGCAACCCUUGUCGUUAGUUGCCAGCAUUGAGUUGGGCACUCUAACGAGACUGCCGACUUUCAAGUCGGAGGAAGGUGGGGAUGAUGUCAAGUCCUCAUGGCCCCUAUGUCCGAGGGCUACACACGUGCUACAAUGGUCGGUACAAAGGGCUGCGAAACCGCGAGGUGGAGCCAAUCCCAAAAAAACCCGGCCUCGAGUACGGAUUGGAGUCUGCAACUCGACUCC